This 429-nucleotide ribosomal RNA is filed under the name Gemmatimonadota bacterium. Its description in RNAcentral is "Gemmatimonadetes bacterium partial 16S ribosomal RNA". It matches the Rfam family "Bacterial small subunit ribosomal RNA", at positions 355 to 776 of the family's 1533-position model. The record is from RNAcentral. Lineage: Bacteria; Pseudomonadati; Gemmatimonadota.
UAGGGAAUCUUCGGCAAUGGACGAAAGUCUGACCGAGCAACGCCGCGUGAGUGAAGAAGGUUUUCGGAUCGUAAAACUCUGUUGUUAGAGAAGAACAAGGACGUUAGUAACUGAACGUCCCCUGACGGUAUCUAACCAGAAAGCCACGGCUAACUACGUGCCAGCAGCCGCGGUAAUACGUAGGUGGCAAGCGUUGUCCGGAUUUAUUGGGCGUAAAGCGAGCGCAGGCGGUUUCUUAAGUCUGAUGUGAAAGCCCCCGGCUCAACCGGGGAGGGUCAUUGGAAACUGGGAGACUUGAGUGCAGAAGAGGCGAGUGGAAUUCCAUGUGUAGCGGUGAAAUGCGUAGAUGUAUGGAGGAACACCAGUGGCGGAGGCGGCUCUCUGGUCUGUAACUGACGCUGAGGCUCGAAAGCGUGGGGAGCAAACAGG